GAUGAACGCUAGCGGCAGGCUUAAUACAUGCAAGUCGAGGGGCAGCAGUCCCGCAGCAAUGCGGGAGCUGGCGACCGGCAAACGGGUGCGGAACACGUACAGAACCUUCCUUCGAGCGGGGAAUAGCCCAGAGAAAUUUGGAUUAAUACCCCAUAGCAUUACGAAGUGGCAUCACUUUGUAAUUAAGAUUUAUCACUCGAAGAUGGCUGUGCGGCUGAUUAGGUAGUUGGCGGAUAACGGCCCACCAAGCCUUCGAUCAGUAACUGGUGUGAGAGCACGACCA
This 283-nucleotide ribosomal RNA is filed under the name uncultured bacterium. Its description in RNAcentral is "partial 16S ribosomal RNA". It matches the Rfam family "Bacterial small subunit ribosomal RNA", at positions 28 to 306 of the family's 1533-position model. The record is from RNAcentral.